Molecule: ribosomal RNA, 492 nt
Filed under: uncultured bacterium
Lineage: Bacteria
Description: partial 16S ribosomal RNA
Rfam family: Bacterial small subunit ribosomal RNA
Source: RNAcentral
AGUGAACGCUGGCGGUAGGCCUAACACAUGCAAGUCGAACGGCAGCACAGUAAGAGCUUGCUCUUACGGGUGGCGAGUGGCGGACGGGUGAGGAAUACAUUGGAAUCUACUUUUUCGUGGGGGAUAACGUAGGGAAACUUACGCUAAUACCGCAUACGACCUACGGGUGAAAGCAGGGGAUCUUCGGACCUUGCGCGAUUGAAUGAGCCGAUGUCGGAUUAGCUAGUUGGCGGGGUAAAGGCCCACCAAGGCGACGAUCCGCAGCUGGUCUGAGAGGAUGAUCAGCCACACUGGAACUGAGACACGGUCCAGACUCCUACGGGAGGCAGCAGUGGGGAAUAUUGGACAAUGGGCGCAAGCCUGAUCCAGCCAUACCGCGUGGGUGAAGAAGGCCUUCGGGUUGUAAAGCCCUUUUGUUGGGAAAGAAAAGCAGCAGGUUAAUACCCCGCUGUUCUGACGGUACCCAAAGAAUAAGCACCGGCUAACUUCGUG